Molecule: ribosomal RNA, 496 nt
Filed under: uncultured bacterium
Lineage: Bacteria
Description: partial 16S ribosomal RNA
Rfam family: Bacterial small subunit ribosomal RNA
Source: RNAcentral
AUGAACGCUGGCGGCGUGCCUAAUCCAUGCCAGUCGAGCGAACGGACGAGAAGCUUGCUUCUCUGAUGUUAGCGGCGGAUGGGUGAGUAACACGUGGAUAACCUACCUAUAAGACUGGGAUAACUUCGGGAAACCGGAGCUAAUACCGGAUAAUAUUUUGAACCGCAUGGUUCAAAAGUGAAAGACGGUCUUGCUGUCACUUAUAGAUGGAUCCGCGCUGCAUUAGCUAGUUGGUAAGGUAACGGCUUACCAAGGCAACGAUGCAUAGCCGACCUGAGAGGGUGAUCGGCCACACUGGAACUGAGACACGGUCCAGACUCCUACGGGAGGCAGCAGUAGGGAAUCUUCCGCAAUGGGCGAAAGCCUGACGGAGCAACGCCGCGUGAGUGAUGAAGGUCUUCGGAUCGUAAAACUCUGUUAUUAGGGAAGAACAUAUGUGUAAGUAACUGUGCACAUCUUGACGGUACCUAAUCAGAAAGCCACGGCUAACUACGUG